CUGUCAAGCUAGAGUGCAGGAGAGGAAGGUAGAAUUCCCGGUGUAGCGGUGAAAUGCGUAGAGAUCGGGAGGAAUACCAGUGGCGAAGGCGGCCUUCUGGACUGACACUGACACUGAGGUGCGAAAGCGUGGGUAGCAAACAGGAUUAGAUACCCUGGUAGUCCACGCCGUAAACGAUGUCGACCAGCCGUUGGGUGCCUAGCGCACUUUGUGGCGAAGUUAACGCGAUAAGUCGACCGCCUGGGGAGUACGGCCGCAAGGUUAAAACUCAAAUGAAUUGACGGGGGCCCGCACAAGCGGUGGAGCAUGUGGUUUAAUUCGAUGCAACGCGAAGAACCUUACCUACUCUUGACAUCCUGCGAACUUGUGAGAGAUCACUUGGUGCCUUCGGGAACGCAGAGACAGGUGCUGCAUGGCUGUCGUCAGCUCGUGUUGUGAAAUGUUGGGUUAAGUCCCGUAACGAGCGCAACCCUUGUCCUUAUUUGCCAGCGGGUAAUGCCGGGAACUCUAAGGAGACUGCCGGUGACAAACCGGAGGAAGGUGGGGACGACGUCAAGUCAUCAUGGCCCUUACGAGUAGGGCUACACACGUGCUACAAUGGCCGGUACAAAGGGUUGCGAGCUCGCGAGAGUCAGCUAAUCCCGAAAAGCCGGUCUCAGUCCGGAUCGGAGUCUGCAACUCGACUCCGUGAAGUCGGAAUCGCUAGUAAUCGUGAAUCAGAAUGUCACGGUGAAUACGUUCCCGG
Molecule: ribosomal RNA, 745 nt
Filed under: Vreelandella venusta
Lineage: Bacteria; Pseudomonadati; Pseudomonadota; Gammaproteobacteria; Oceanospirillales; Halomonadaceae
Description: bacterial SSU rRNA
Rfam family: Bacterial small subunit ribosomal RNA
Source: RNAcentral